ACUCCCUGGCAGGCCACAGUAAUGGCCACGACUCUGCUCCACUUCCUGUAACGGAUCCCACGCGGCUCCAUCAUGCUCUGACGAGUCACGACAACGGACAUCACCCCACUCUCCAUAACAGGCUCCACGUGGUAGGCCACGAUGAUGGCCACGACUCCACUUCACUACUCUCCGUAACAAACUCCACAUGACCCCGAACGGCCCACUACCAGGCGACUGCAGACAUCGCUGUCAAUCUGUUACGCCCUCCAC
This 252-nucleotide long non-coding RNA is filed under the name Elaeis guineensis (African oil palm). RNAcentral's name for it is "long non-coding RNA (EGUI_LNC073739)". Lineage: Eukaryota; Viridiplantae; Streptophyta; Magnoliopsida; Arecales; Arecaceae. The record is from RNAcentral.